GCUCGUAGGCGGUCUGUCGCGUCUGCUGUGAAAACCCGAGGCUCAACCUCGGGCCUGCAGUGGGUACGGGCAGACUAGAGUGCGGUAGGGGAGAUUGGAAUUCCUGGUGUAGCGGUGGAAUGCGCAGAUAUCAGGAGGAACACCGAUGGCGAAGGCAGAUCUCUGGGCCGUAACUGACGCUGAGGAGCGAAAGGGUGGGGAGCAAACAGGCUUAGAUACCCUGGUAGUCCACCCCGUAAACGUUGGGAACUAGUUGUGGGGUCCUUUCCACGGUCUCCGUGACGCAGCUAACGCAUUAAGUUCCCCGCCUGGGGAGUACGGCCGCAAGGCUAAAACUCAAAGGAAUUGACGGGGACCCGCACAAGCGGCGGAGCAUGCGGAUUAAUUCGAUGCAACGCGAAGAACCUUACCAAGGCUUGACAUAUAGAGGAAANNUCUGGAAACAGUCGCCCCGCAAGGUCUCUAUACAGGUGGUGCAUGGUUGUCGUCAGCUCGUGUCGUGAGAUGUUGGGUUAAGUCCCGCAACGAGCGCAACCCUCGUUCUAUGUUGCCAGCACGUAAUGGUGGGAACUCAUGGGAUACUGCCGGGGUCAACUCGGAGGAAGGUGGGGAUGACGUCAAAUCAUCAUGCCCCUUAUGUCUUGGGCUUCACGCAUGCUACAAUGGCCGGUACAAAGGGCUGCAAUACCGUGAGGUGGAGCGAAUCCCAAAAAGC
Molecule: ribosomal RNA, 715 nt
Filed under: actinomycete 33B1.UGM050509-01
Lineage: Bacteria; Bacillati; Actinomycetota; Actinomycetes; Actinomycetales
Description: bacterial SSU rRNA
Rfam family: Bacterial small subunit ribosomal RNA
Source: RNAcentral